RNAcentral lists this transfer RNA (92 nucleotides) under Candidatus Omnitrophota bacterium. Its description in RNAcentral is "tRNA-Ser". It matches the Rfam family "tRNA". Rfam says of the family: Transfer RNA (tRNA) molecules are approximately 80 nucleotides in length. Their secondary structure includes four short double-helical elements and three loops (D, anti-codon, and T loops). The record is from RNAcentral. Lineage: Bacteria; Pseudomonadati; Candidatus Omnitrophota.
GGAGAGGUGGCAGAGUGGUUGAAUGCAGUUGCCUGCUAAGCAAUUGGCCGGGGCAACCUGGCCCCUGGGUUCGAAUCCCAGCCUCUCCGCCA